UGUUGCUCCACACUUCCACGUCCAUCGCCUGAAGUCCCCAGGACCCUUGGCGAUUGCUGCUAACUAGCUAGCUGACCCGAAAUGCCCCAAAAAAGGCAAAACUAAAAACCAUGGAAAACAACAUCACUUUGUAUCCUGAAAAACACACCGCGGGCAGCACUCAGACCACCCGCUGCAGCAAUUCGAACGACACCGGCCUCCUAGUAUCCACUGACACUUUACCCCUCCUGAAACCUUUCAGUGCCUGUCUAACCAGAAAAUGUUUGGUAGCAUCCUCCCACCCGUUAAAUUUGAAC
Pelobates cultripes (western spadefoot toad) is the source of this 296-nucleotide non-coding RNA. The record is from the annotation of a GenBank genome assembly. NCBI's taxonomy places the organism in Eukaryota, Metazoa, Chordata, Amphibia, Anura, Pelobatidae.